Bos grunniens (domestic yak) is the source of this 67-nucleotide microRNA precursor. The record is from Ensembl. Lineage: Eukaryota; Metazoa; Chordata; Mammalia; Artiodactyla; Bovidae.
AGGGUGACCAACUGUCUUGGUUUGCCUGGGACUGAGGGUUUCCUGGGAUGUGGGAUGUUUAGGACUA